UCGAGAAUCUUCCACAAUGGACGAAAGUCUGAUGGAGCGACGCCGCGUGACUGAUGAAGUCUUUCGGGAUGUAAAGGUCUUUUAUGAAGGAGAAAGUUUUGAUAGUACUUCAUGAAUAAGGGGUUGCUAAACUCGUGCCAGCAGCAGCGGUAAUACGAGUACCCCAAGCGUUAUCCGGAAUUAUUGGGCGUAAAGGGUGUGUAGGCGGUCGUGUUAGUCAUUCGUCAAAGCCUCCGGCUCAACCGGAGAA
Molecule: ribosomal RNA, 250 nt
Filed under: uncultured bacterium
Lineage: Bacteria
Description: partial 16S ribosomal RNA
Rfam family: Bacterial small subunit ribosomal RNA
Source: RNAcentral